AUUCCUUGAAGUACAAUAUCUACAACAUUUCAUUGAUACCAUUACAAAACAAUCAGUAUGUAGAUAGUUACUUCCAUUGAUAAUUAACUAUCUCUUAAUUACACAAACUUUCAAACUCCAUUGCAUUUCUAUUGAUCGCAAUAUUAAAAAAACAUGUUGUUUGAUAAAUUUCUAUCAAAUUUAAUUAUAAAUCAUAAAGUGUAAAUCAAUGUCGCGCAAAUGGCAACUCUAAAUACUAAUUAUAUCAAAAGUUAACCGAUUACAGGGGGAACAUGCAUUUAUGAAAAGGGAAGACGCUUCAUGGAAAUGGUCUCAAUACAAUGCAAUAUGUAGAAAAAUUUCCUUACAGGAGAAUCUGAGGGUAUUUCGUUUAUAUUGCUGAUAUAUAAAUUGUUAUCACAAACCUAUUCUUUGAAUUACAAUAUAUACAACAUUUCAUUCAAACCAUUGCAAAAUAAGUAGCAUACAGUAUAUAUAGAUAAUAACUUCAAUUGAUAACUACAUAUCUCUUUAUCAUAUAAAACUUUCAGACGCCAUUGAAUUUUUAUUGAGCACAUUAUUGAUAAAAUAAUUGUUUGAUAAAUGUACAACUAAUUUAAUUUGAAGCUUUAAAGUUUACAUCAAUUUUAAUCACAUGACAAUUCUAAAUACUAAUUACUGUGGAUUCAUUUAUUUUCGUGGACAACAAUUUUCGUGGAUGAAAAAAAAUGGAUGUUCGUGGACAUUUCAUUUCGUGGUUCUGCCGAAGUUAUUCUUCAAGCCCUUGGAAAAUUUGUCAUUAGUUGAACAUUUAAUUUCGUGGUUCACCAGUGUUCACCUUUACCUACAAAAUCCACGUAAAUUGGUAUCCAACGAAUAAUAAGGAAUCCAAAGUAGAACACGUGUAAACAAAAAAUGUAUUAAUGAAAAGGAAUAAUGGUAAACAUAUGUAGAAAAUAACUUUACAGAAGAAUGUGAGGAUAUUUCUUUUUUUUC
Molecule: long non-coding RNA, 975 nt
Filed under: Mytilus galloprovincialis (Mediterranean mussel)
Lineage: Eukaryota; Metazoa; Mollusca; Bivalvia; Mytilida; Mytilidae
Source: RNAcentral